AAACUUUAUUUGUCACUUUACAAGAUGUAUAACUUCUACUUAAAAAUUUAAACGCACUCUUUAAAUCCUUACGACUAACGACUAACAUUAAAAAAAAGUAUGUACCAUAUAACUGACAUGUGUGUGUGUGUAUAUAUAUAUAGUUCAUAGUAUUAAUGUUAUUAUCACCCAGUUAGUAAUGAACAGCGAUAACAAUGAGCAACAGCAAUAUAUAUAUAUAUAUAUAUAAGUGAGCAGUAGAACGUUUUCUCUUUUUUUGUGGUAAUACUUUUUAGUUAAGCUUUAUAUACACUUUAGCAAAGGUAUAAAAGACCAGUAAGAAAGUAAAUACAUACACAUGUUUACACCCACACAUAUAUAUAUAUUACCUCGCAUCGUAAAAAAAAACUAACAACCCACAAACUGUACAAGUUAUAUUGUAACGAAUUAAACUCGUAUUUACUGGACGAACUUGAUGUAUACAUACGUACAUAUAUACAUGUGUUUAUAUGUAUAUUAAGUGCAUAUGCAUAAAACACAUAUAUGCUCUCUAAUUAGAAAUAAUCUAGGAUGUUUUUAAAUUACAUUAAUAAAAAGCAUGGAAAUAUUAUUUUGAUAUAUCUUUUGUACAUAACACUUUUUGAGACAUUACAUUACAGUAAAACAUUAUUAAUUAGGGACUACAGGUAUGGACAAAAAAAAAAAAAAAAAAAAAAAAAACAUGUUACUUUUUACAUAUUUAAAUAGACUAGUAGUCAAAAGAGAGAGAAAAAAAAAUAAAUAAAAUAAACACAUUAUGUGCUAAAUGGUUAACUAACUGUAUAACGAAUAAAAUGUGAGCUUUUAAAAAUUUACUUUUGUUUUUUUUUUAUUUUUUUUAGCUUAUAUCUUCCUUUUGAUAAUAGCCUAACAUCUUUUAAUAUAAACCCUAAGACAAAAAAGUCUUUUAAUUUUAUUAUCAAAAACUUAUAUAAAAAAAACAAAAAGAAAAAAAAAAAACAUUUAAAAAAAGUAUAUUCGAUAAAGGUAACUAAUUUAGCUGAAAAUAGCAUUCCCGAAGAAUACAUCAAAUACAAUAUUCCUUCUGAGCCAAUCUACCCAUACAUCACAGUGCCUGAUAAUUUAUACACGAGGACAAAAAAAGAGAAGGAAAAACUUGAAAAAGAGGAGGGUGAAAAGGAAGAGGGUGAAGAAGAAAAAGACGAAAAAUAUAAAAACCAAGUCGAGAUAGACGAACUUGAUGAAAAAAUUGAGGAAAAAAAAAUAAAGACCAUAGGUAAGGACAUAAAACGUAUACCAUUAAAAGAUGUAGAAAAUCAGAAUAAAGAAAAAAUUGCAAAAGUUAAAAACUUAGCUGAACCAACAAUAAAUGAUUAUAUUGAAGAUACAGAAUAUGAAAGGUAUAUCCAUCCUAGUUUAAUAAAAAAAAUUGAAAAAAAAGAUUUAUAUUAUUAUAUACCUUAUAAUUUAAGAAAAUAUAUUACAAAUGAAAAAGAAUUUAUUGGUACUGUAGAUAUGUUUAACGAAUAUGAUGUUGAACAUGACUUGACUGAAUAUGAUGCGUCUUUUAAUGGUAUAGGACCCUGGCCUUCAACAGAAGAGAUAGUACAUAAUGAAAAUGAUUAUGUAUUUGAUAAAACUGAUUUAGAGAUAGAAUAUAAUAUUACAUAUGAUAAAAGUGGUUAUUAUGCAUACAAAAAAAGUGAAUUGGAUAAAAAAGCGAGGGCGCAUGUAGCAAAGAAAAAUGAAAACGAAAAUGAAAACGAAAAUGAAAACGAAAAUGAAAACGAAAAUGAAAAUGAAAACAAAAAUGAAAACGAAAAUGAAAGAGAAGCGCAUAUAGAAAAUCAGAAUAAUUCGCCUAAAAAAAAUAAUCAAAAUAACACAUCAUUUGAAGUAACUGUAAAGGAUAUAAGAAAAUUGUAUAGUAAAAAAAUUAUUAAAACUAUUAAGGAAGCAAAAGAGGAAAUGCAAAGAUGGGAGGAGCGAAGUAAACAAUCAAGAACUAAAUGGGUAUUAACAAAAAAGGAAUUAAAUUUAUUACCAACAAAUUUUAAAUUAUUAUAUAUACAAAAACGUAAACAAUAUGUAAAAGAAAAUAUUUUGAAUAUGAACAAGCUUUUUAAUAAUUCAGUAGGCAAUCAAA
Molecule: long non-coding RNA, 2125 nt
Filed under: Piliocolobus tephrosceles (Ugandan red Colobus)
Lineage: Eukaryota; Metazoa; Chordata; Mammalia; Primates; Cercopithecidae
Description: lncRNA (ENSPTEG00000011587.1)
Source: RNAcentral